Molecule: non-coding RNA, 45 nt
Filed under: Schistosoma mattheei
Lineage: Eukaryota; Metazoa; Platyhelminthes; Trematoda; Strigeidida; Schistosomatidae
Source: RNAcentral
AUUCAGUUGACGAGUCCCAUAUAGGAUGAAACGCGCGUUCUGGAU